This is a long non-coding RNA of Clupea harengus (Atlantic herring), 585 nucleotides long. RefSeq lists it as uncharacterized. Lineage: Eukaryota; Metazoa; Chordata; Actinopteri; Clupeiformes; Clupeidae. The transcript has 3 exons. The record is from RefSeq and is a predicted model, not a curated record.
GGGGAGCUUGAGAAAAAUCUGUGUGUGGGUGCAGCAAGGCAUUCAUGUUCUAGGGUGGUGGGGGGUACACACACACAUGCACAUAGACUCGCAUGCACCCACGCACACACACUUCCACUCUAAGCAACGGGCCAAGUAUACUGCAGUCAUAUCGUCUUCAGUCUUUACACAGGCAAUGUUUUAAGCCUCACCUAACUGAAGCAUCAGCUGAAUUUCUGUCAACAUGAGGACACUGGCUGCUCUUCUGGCUCAGGUGCUGGUCAUCCCAGUUAGUGCUCAGUAUGGUCCCACUACACACACAUGCUGUGAAAGACACUACCUUCAGGCACUUCCAGCAGUGGAUGCCGCCUCAAAGCUCAUGUGUUUAAAACAGUGGCAAAAAAGGUGUUCUGUGUGAACCCAGACCUGCCCUGGGUAAAGAAGAUUGUCACCAAGCUGGACAGGAAGCCAAGGGCUGCUACAAACUGUGAAUGAAUCUGUAAAUGAAUCAUCACCAUCUAUGGCAGUUUCUGCAGAACUCCCACCAGGACUUUCCUGCAUUGUCUGAUGACAAUGAUUUAUUGAACUGACUUAAGCUAAUCUCUG